This is a long non-coding RNA of Nomascus leucogenys (northern white-cheeked gibbon), 1161 nucleotides long. RefSeq lists it as uncharacterized. The transcript is spliced from 3 exons. The record is from RefSeq and is a predicted model, not a curated record. Lineage: Eukaryota; Metazoa; Chordata; Mammalia; Primates; Hylobatidae.
CAUAGGAUCUUGACGCAAAGGGACUAGAAAACAGGCCCAGAGGGGCCACCUGCCUUGGUGGAGUCACACAGACUGAGCCACCCAUCUAGGUUAACAGGGGCUGGGGCUGAGGAGUUAGUGUUUCAUGGGUGUCGAGUUUCUGUUUGGGAAGAUUGAAAAGCGUUCCAGAGACGGAUGGUGGUGAUGCCUGCACAACAAUCUCAGAGCACCAGCACCGGACCCGCACUGGAGCAGCAGAACAGGAGACUAAAAGUCCAGUAGAAACCCUGGCAUUCCGACCAGACGGACCACGAAAGGAAAGGGCUCCCCACUCUCUGCAGAGUGGGAAGAUGGAGGCAGACCUAGAAGAGACAGAGCUGGAGAAAGGGGGUCCCUGAUUAUGUGGGUGACCUGGGGUGACCACCAUAUCACUGUCUGCCCAGGACUUUCUCGGAUUUACUGCUGAGAGUCUCACAUCCUGGGAAACUCCUUAGUCCCAAACAAACUGGGAUGGUUGGACUCCCUAGAAUGAAUUCACACAAGUCUUGGGCUCCCCCCGAACUGCAUGUGCAGGAGACAAACCCAGACCAGCCUAACAAAAACUCUGAAAACUGACCCAAGUUUGGAAAUGCCACUCAUAGAAGAUGAAACAGAAUUUCUGGCCUGAAACUGAGCAGGCUGACUGCCUCCUGAAACCAAACAAACCCACCUUCUCCGGGGAAUUGUAACAGGACUAAGAAUCUACACAACACACUAUUCACAAUGUCCAGUACACAAUCCAAGAUCGUUCGCCAUACAGUGGCCAAUGCUCAAAGGAAAAGACGCUCAGCAGAUGCCAACCCUGAGAGGACCCGAUACUGGAAUUUUCAGAAAAAGCAGCCAUUACAACUGUGCUCCAUGAGGUCAAGGUAAACACACUUGGCCAGACGCUGUGGCCUCCUCACAGGAGGGUGCAGUGAGCUGUGAUUGAAACACUGCACUCCAGCCUGGGCUACAGAGUGAGACCUUGUCCUCCCCAAAAGGGAGAAGUGGCAUGUGACAAACUUUCCGUGCCUCCAUUUCCUCAUCUGUAAAGUGAAGAUAAAUCACAGUAAUAAUCAUUUUUAGAGAGGCGAACAUGGCUGGGUGCGGUGGCACAUGCCUGUAAUCCCAGCACUUUGGGAGGCCGAGGCGGGUGGGUCA